UACUAGAGUAGCACUUGCAUAUCAAUAAGCGGAGGAAAAGAAACUAACAAGGAUUCCCCUAGUAACGGCGAGUGAAGCGGGAAGAGCUCAAAUUUGAAAUCUUAAAGGGUUUCCCUUUACGAAUUGUAGUUUAAAGAAGUGUUUUCUGUUGAGGUUUUGGUAAAAGUUCUUUGGAAUAGGACAUCAUAGAGGGUGAGAAUCCCGUAUUUGACCUUUACUUUCAACUUUGUGAUACACUUUCAAAGAGUCGGAUUGUUUGGGAAUGCAGUCCAAAAUGGGUGGUAAAUUUCAUCUAAAGCUAAAUAUUGGCGAGAGACCGAUAGCGAACAAGUACCGUGAGGGAAAGAUGAAAAGAACUUUGAAAAGAGAGUUAAACAGUACGUGAAAUUGUCAAAAGGGAAGCGUUUGACACCAGUGUUGUUUUUCUGAAAAUCAAUUAAAGAACUGUUUAUGCUAAGUUGUUUAGACUUUAUCAGCUAACUGUUUAGUUUUGAGCUUUUCUUUAAUGCACUUUUCAGUUAACAAGUCAACAUCAAUUUCUUUUGCUGUAAAAAAGCUUGAGGAAGGUGGCUUGAGAUUCGUCUUAAGUGUUUAUAGCCUCUUGCCUAUGCAGUCGGAGAGAUUGAGGUCUGCAGCGUAGAUCCUUCGGGGCUAAAUGCAUUUGUGCUAAGUUAUAGCAUUUUAUAGACAACUUGUUGACUAUGAUUUGUCUUGUAGCUUACUCGCUUAUGUUAUUUUACCUACGCUUAGGAUGUUGAGCGCAUGUCUCUCUCU
This 774-nucleotide ribosomal RNA is filed under the name uncultured Neocallimastigales. RNAcentral describes it as "partial large subunit ribosomal RNA". It matches the Rfam family "Eukaryotic large subunit ribosomal RNA", at positions 16 to 616 of the family's 3401-position model. Lineage: Eukaryota; Fungi; Neocallimastigomycota; Neocallimastigomycetes; Neocallimastigales. The record is from RNAcentral.